RNAcentral lists this ribosomal RNA (494 nucleotides) under uncultured bacterium. Its description in RNAcentral is "bacterial SSU rRNA". It matches the Rfam family "Bacterial small subunit ribosomal RNA", at positions 21 to 507 of the family's 1533-position model. The record is from RNAcentral.
GGCUCAGGAUGAACGCUAGCGGCAGGCUUAAUACAUGCAAGUCGUGGGGCAGCAUGAGUAGCAAUACUUGAUGGCGACCGGCAAACGGGUGAGGAACACGUACACAACCUUCCUUCAAGCGGGGAAUAGCCCAGAGAAAUUUGGAUUAAUACCCCAUAAUAUAUUUGAUAAGGCAUCUUAUUAAUAUUUAAAGCUUCGGCACUUGAUGAUGGGUGUGCGGCUGAUUAGAUAGUUGGCGGGGUAACGGCCCACCAAGUCUACGAUCAGUAGCUGAUGUGAGGGCAUGAUCAGCCACACGGGCACUGAGACACGGGCCCGACUCCUACGGGAGGCAGCAGUAAGGAAUAUUGGACAAUGGACGAAAGUCUGAUCCAGCCAUGCCCGCGUGAAGGAUUAAGGUUCUCUGGAUUGUAAACUUCUUUUAUAUGGGACGAAAAAAGGGCAUUCUUGUUCACUUGACGGUACCAUAUGAAUAAGCACCGGCUAACUCCGUG